This 974-nucleotide ribosomal RNA is filed under the name Sordariomycetidae sp. Its description in RNAcentral is "SSU rRNA". It matches the Rfam family "Eukaryotic small subunit ribosomal RNA", at positions 99 to 1083 of the family's 1831-position model. Lineage: Eukaryota; Fungi; Ascomycota; Sordariomycetes. The record is from RNAcentral.
CAUUAAAUCAGUUAUCGUUUAUUUGAUAGUACCUUACUACUUGGAUAACCGUGGUAAUUCUAGAGCUAAUACAUGCUAAAAACCCCGACUUACGGAGGGGUGUAUUUAUUAGAUUAAAAACCAAUGCCCUCCGGGGCUUCCUGGUGAUUCAUAAUAACUUCUCGGAUCGCACGGCCUUGCGCCGGCGAUGGUUCAUUCAAAUUUCUGCCCUAUCAACUUUCGAUGGCUGGGUCUUGGCCAGCCAUGGUGACAACGGGUAACGGAGGGUUAGGGCUCGACCCCGGAGAGGGAGCCUGAGAAACGGCUACCACAUCCAAGGAAGGCAGCAGGCGCGCAAAUUACCCAAUCCCGACUCGGGGAGGUAGUGACAAUAAAUACUGAUACAGGGCUCUUUAGGGUCUUGUAAUUGGAAUGAGUACAAUUUAAAUCCCUUAACGAGGAACAAUUGGAGGGCAAGUCUGGUGCCAGCAGCCGCGGUAAUUCCAGCUCCAAUAGCGUAUAUUAAAGUUGUUGAGGUUAAAAAGCUCGUAGUUGAACCUUGGGCCUGGCUGGCCGGUCCGCCUCACCGCGUGCACUGGUCCGGCCGGGUCUUUCCCUCUGGGGAGCCGCAUGCCCUUCGUUGGGUGUGUCGGGGAACCAGGACUUUUACUCUGAACAAAUUAGAUCGCUUAAAGAAGGCCUAUGCUCGAAUAUAUUAGCAUGGAAUAAUAGAAUAGGACGUGUGGUUCUAUUUUGUUGGUUUCUAGGACCGCCGUAAUGAUUAAUAGGGACAGUCGGGGGCAUCAGUAUUCAAUUGUCAGAGGUGAAAUUCUUGGAUUUAUUGAAGACUAACUACUGCGAAAGCAUUUGCCAAGGAUGUUUUCAUUAAUCAGGAACGAAAGUUAGGGGAUCGAAGACGAUCAGAUACCGUCGUAGUCUUAACCAUAAACUAUGCCGAUUAGGGAUCGGACGGUGUUAUUUUUUGACCCGUUCGG